CGCGUCGUGGUAUUUCGCGUAUUGUGAUUUCAACGCCAACGGGGUCAAAUCCUUUGCAGACGACUUAGCUGUGCGAAACGGUCCUGUAAGCAGUAGAGUAGCCUUGUUGUUACGAUCUGCUGAGGGUAAGCCGUCCUUCGCCUCGAUUU
Molecule: ribosomal RNA, 149 nt
Filed under: Fusarium veterinarium
Lineage: Eukaryota; Fungi; Ascomycota; Sordariomycetes; Hypocreales; Nectriaceae
Description: partial 28S large subunit ribosomal RNA
Rfam family: Eukaryotic large subunit ribosomal RNA
Source: RNAcentral